GGUUGUGGCUCAGUGGUACAGCCCUUGCCUAGCAUGUGUGAGGCCCUGGGUUUGAGUCUCAGCACCA
RNAcentral lists this transfer RNA (67 nucleotides) under Marmota monax (woodchuck). Its description in RNAcentral is "tRNA.Ala". Lineage: Eukaryota; Metazoa; Chordata; Mammalia; Rodentia; Sciuridae. The record is from RNAcentral.